This 329-nucleotide unclassified non-coding RNA is filed under the name soil metagenome. RNAcentral describes it as "partial contains 5.8S ribosomal RNA, internal transcribed spacer 2, and large subunit ribosomal RNA". The stretch from base 1 to 120 matches the Rfam family "5.8S ribosomal RNA", at positions 35 to 154 of the family's 154-position model. The record is from RNAcentral.
GAUGAAGAACGCAGCGAAAUGCGAUAAGUAGUGUGAAUUGCAGAAUUCCGUGAAUCAUCGAAUCUUUGAACGCACAUUGCGCCCCCUGGUAUUCCGGGGGGCAUGCCUGUCCGAGCGUCAUUACAACCCUCAAGCUCAGCUUGGUGUUGGGCCCCGCCGCCCCGGCGGGCCCUAAAGUCAGUGGCGGUGCCGUCCGGCUCCGAGCGUAGUAAUUCUUCUCGCUCUGGAGGUCCGGUCGUGUGCUUGCCAGCAACCCCCAAUUUUUUUCAGGUUGACCUCGGAUCAGGUAGGGAUACCCGCUGAACUUAAGCAUAUCAAUAAGCGGAGGA